This 406-nucleotide ribosomal RNA is filed under the name uncultured soil bacterium. RNAcentral's name for it is "bacterial SSU rRNA". It matches the Rfam family "Bacterial small subunit ribosomal RNA", at positions 26 to 425 of the family's 1533-position model. The record is from RNAcentral.
AGAUUGAACGCUGGCGGCAGGCCUAACACAUGCAAGUCGAGCGGUAGAGAGGUGCUUGCAUCUCUUGAGAGCGGCGGACGGGUGAGUAAUGCCUAGGAAUCUGCCUAGUGGUGGGGGAUAACGUUCGGAAACGGACGCUAAUACCGCAUACGUCCUACGGGAGAAAGCGGGGGACCUUCGGGCCUCGCGCCAUUAGAUGAGCCUAGGUCGGAUUAGCUAGUUGGUGAGGUAAUGGCUCACCAAGGCGACGAUCCGUAACUGGUCUGAGAGGAUGAUCAGUCACACUGGAACUGAGACGACGGUCCAGACUCCUACGGGAGGCAAGCAGGUGGGAAUAGUUGGAACAAGUGGGACGAAAGCCUAGACUCCAGCCAUCGCCGCGUGUGUAGAAGAGGUCUUCGGAUUU